Molecule: unclassified non-coding RNA, 275 nt
Filed under: Basidiomycota sp.
Lineage: Eukaryota; Fungi; Basidiomycota
Description: partial contains small subunit ribosomal RNA, internal transcribed spacer 1, and 5.8S ribosomal RNA
Rfam family: Eukaryotic small subunit ribosomal RNA (bases 1-47)
Source: RNAcentral
AAAGUCGUAACAAGGUUUCCGUAGGUGAACCUGCGGAAGGAUCAUUAACGAGUUCACUGAGUUGUCGCUGCCCUCUCGGGGGAUGUGCACGCUCUUUCACUCAUCUCACACACCUGUGCACCUAUGCGAGUCAAUGGGGGAUUAGCGAAAGGACCCGAAAGGAUUCGACUAGCGUUCUCUGUCGGCUCGAUUUUUAUAAACUCUUGUAUGUCUCAGAAUGUCUACUUUGCUUAACGCAAUAAAUACAACUUUCAACAACGGAUCUCUUGGUUCUC